CCUGAAAACCAUGCAUGAGUGAAGCCAUUAUGCCACCUCUAUAGACUGCUAUAUUAAUUCAAAUAGAACUGUAACUGUCAUGGCCCUGGCUGUGCCUCUAGUGUCCCCCCAUGUGUUUCCCGUGUUUUCCCUUUUCCUUGUGUUUCUUGUCCCGUUUGUCUCCUCAUGUGUUCUUGUUUGUGAGUGGCAGGCGUGGCUCCUCCUUCCUCCGGCUUCUCCCUGAUUACUCCUGAUGCACGGCAUCUGCUCUCAUCAGCGCACCUGCCAUCCAUCAUCCCAUCUUCCCCGGAUUACCAGCCACUCUUCGCCAGAUCGUUCAGUCAGCUACAUUGGUCAUCACCAUCUGGUUACCUCGGCCUGUCUGCCAAUCAGCCUGCUGCUCACACCACUCUCCUGUUAGACCGACUCCGUCACCGUUCCCCUACCUGCUCACCUGCCUCAUCCCCUCUGUUGCAAUAAAUCUCUUUCUACAU
Long non-coding RNA from Thunnus maccoyii (southern bluefin tuna), 473 nucleotides. RefSeq lists it as uncharacterized. NCBI's taxonomy places the organism in Eukaryota, Metazoa, Chordata, Actinopteri, Scombriformes, Scombridae. The transcript has 2 exons. The record is from RefSeq and is a predicted model, not a curated record.